AGAGUUUGAUCAUGGCUCAGAACGAACGCUGGCGGUAUGCUUAACACAUGCAAGUCGAACGAGAAAGUCUCUUCGGAGAUGAGUAGAGUGGCGCACGGGUGAGUAACACGUAGAUAACCUACCCUUUAGUCCGGGACAACCCUUCGAAAGGAGGGCUAAUACUGGAUAAUACAUUUUAUCGAGUGAUGAGAUGUUGAAAGAUUUAUUGCUAGGGGAUGGGUCUGCGGACCAUUAGCUAGUUGGUGGGGUAAUGGCCUACCAAGGCGUCGAUGGUUAGCGGGUCUGAGAGGAUGAUCCGCCACACUGGAACUGAGACACGGUCCAGACUCCUACGGGAGGCAGCAGUGGGGAAUUUUGCGCAAUGGGCGAAAGCCUGACGCAGCAAUACCGCGUGAGUGAAGAAGGCCUUUGGGUCGUAAAGCUCUUUUCUAGGGGAAGAUAGUGACGGUACCCUAGGAAUAAGCACCGGCUAACUCCGUGCCAGCAGCCGCGGUAAUACGGAGGGUGCAAGCGUUGUUCGGAUUUACUGGGCGUAAAGAGCACGUAGGCGGCGUAGCAAGUUAAGGGUGAAAUCCCGGGGCUCAACUCCGGAACUGCUCUUAAAACUGCUAAGCUAGAGAUAGUCAGAGGCGGGUGGAAUUCCAGGUGUAGAGGUGAAAUUCGUAGAUAUCUGGAGGAACACCGGUGGCGAAGGCGGCCGCUGGGGCUAUUCUGACGCUGAGGUGCGAAAGCGUGGGGAGCAAACGGGAUUAGAUACCCUAGUAGUCC
This 768-nucleotide ribosomal RNA is filed under the name uncultured bacterium. Its description in RNAcentral is "bacterial SSU rRNA". It matches the Rfam family "Bacterial small subunit ribosomal RNA", at positions 8 to 796 of the family's 1533-position model. The record is from RNAcentral.